GGAUUCCCAAGGGCACUGAAAACUCUAGGAGCUGCUGACCAGGGCAGUGCUUCCUAUCUAAAGCCAAACAGGUUAAUUCAGUUUUGCAAAUAGAAUUCUUUGUUGGCAACUUUUUCUUCAAGCAACAUAUAUAAUCUGUAUUUGGAAUUCACCUGAUGAACAUCAGAAUCAAAUUAACUACUUAACAGGAAACAGAAGCCAAAAAGUGCAAUCCAACCAUCCAGAACACUUCCAGCAAAUCUAGCAAAUUUUAAACAUGAUUCAUCCCUGAAAGACAACAUGAAGAAAGGAUGCAGCAUCUGGCAGACCUGAAUCCAAGGAAUCCAAGGCAGACCUGAAUCCAUGGUUAUAGCAUUAGUGGCAACAUGUAACUCUGUUUCUGCCCUUGCUCCUGUAAAUCUCAACAGUGAUAUUAUACCCAUAAGGUCGUCAUCAUCUUUACAUCAAACACUAAAGGGCAAAGGUGCAGACUGAGAGCUUCUAGAAUAAAAGCCUCUACCUGAGAUCAGUCAAGCUUUGGAACAUCUUCCAUGUAUCAGGACCAUUUGUAAAUCUGUGUCUAUGCCAGUUUCAGAUUUUGUCUUCUUUCUUAGAAAGCUCAACUAUUUACCUGGUCCUGACAAUCCUUUUUGCUUUACUUAUUGAAAAUCAUUGCUUAUAAGGAUGUCUGUAUAUUCCACACUGUAAAUUAGAUUGUAACUAUUAGGUUUUAAUAAAGUUUGUUCAGAAAAGGU
Long non-coding RNA from Protobothrops mucrosquamatus (brown spotted pit viper), 734 nucleotides. RefSeq lists it as uncharacterized. The transcript has 3 exons. Lineage: Eukaryota; Metazoa; Chordata; Lepidosauria; Squamata; Viperidae. The record is from RefSeq and is a predicted model, not a curated record.